GCUCAUAUGGUGUAAUGGUAGCACUAAAGAUUUUGAUUCUUUCAAUUUCAGUUCGAUUCUGAAUAUGAGCU
This 71-nucleotide transfer RNA is filed under the name Aureococcus anophagefferens virus. It matches the Rfam family "tRNA". From Rfam's summary of the family: Transfer RNA (tRNA) molecules are approximately 80 nucleotides in length. Lineage: Varidnaviria; Bamfordvirae; Nucleocytoviricota; Megaviricetes; Imitervirales; Schizomimiviridae. The record is from Rfam by way of RNAcentral.